AUUUUUUCACUUGUGUAUGUACAUGUUCUUACAUCUUUAAAUUUAACUCAAACGUUGUCUCUUGUCCGUGCAUAUACAUAGAAAUACUCAAACAUCAUUCAUCGUUCUUAAUCUAUUUGUAUGCAAGAAAACUAUAGAGACAGAUUUUUGUUGGGUCUUUUAGAGAGGAACAGAAUGGGUAGAGGAAGAGUACAAUUGAAGAGAAUCGAGAACAAUAUUAAUNGUAAUGGACUUGAUCUUGGGUUUCCAAGAUAAUAAAUAUACUCGAGUAACGAGAUGUUAUUCUAUAUGAUCAUGAGGAGCAUCGCUAGGUUGCUUGAAGGUUAC
This 327-nucleotide long non-coding RNA is filed under the name Olea europaea (common olive). RNAcentral describes it as "long non-coding RNA (OEUR_LNC008502)". Lineage: Eukaryota; Viridiplantae; Streptophyta; Magnoliopsida; Lamiales; Oleaceae. The record is from RNAcentral.